This 253-nucleotide ribosomal RNA is filed under the name uncultured bacterium. RNAcentral's name for it is "partial 16S ribosomal RNA". It matches the Rfam family "Bacterial small subunit ribosomal RNA", at positions 524 to 776 of the family's 1533-position model. The record is from RNAcentral.
UACGUAGGGGGCAAGCGUUGUCCGGAAUCAUUGGGCGUAAAGAGCGUGUAGGCGGCCCGAUAAGUCCGCCGUGAAAGUCCAGGGCUCAACCCUGGAAUGCCGGUGGAAACUGUCGGGCUGGAGUCCGGAAGAGGCGAGUGGAAUUCCUGGUGUAGCGGUGAAAUGCGCAGAUAUCAGGAGGAACACCGGUGGCGAAGGCGGUUCUCUGGGCCUGUACUGACGCUGAGGAACGAAAGCGUGGGGAGCGAACAGG